UUGUGUAGUCAAGGAGAAAUUUGGUAUAUCUCCAGAUCAUACCAUUUAUUUGGCAGACGAGACCGGAACUGAAGUGGAUGAAGAUGUUUUUGCUGAUAUUAUGGAACAAAAGCCUGACACACUUUGGACAAUUGUUGAUUCUAUGGCUACAGAAGAUUCUACUGCCCCACCAACCUCUCAAUUUUCAAGUGAAAUGAAAACGGUGUCACCAACAGACAGCUGUGUUUCUGUUCUCUCAACAAAAAGACCUCGAACUGACGACCAAUUUACUGAGGCCAAGGAGCUUGUAAAAGAUGUAUUGGGGAAAAAAAGUGCAGGGGAGAAGAUUUUUCAGGAGUACAGAGCAACUGGGAAAAUCACAGAUUCUACAAGGCGAAUUCUUGUGAAUGCUGUAGUUGGAGACAUGAUUGAAAAA
Long non-coding RNA from Danio aesculapii, 415 nucleotides. RefSeq lists it as uncharacterized. The record is from RefSeq and is a predicted model, not a curated record. Lineage: Eukaryota; Metazoa; Chordata; Actinopteri; Cypriniformes; Danionidae. The transcript is spliced from 3 exons.